CCCUUAGAUGUUCUGGGCCGCACGCGCGCUACACUGACGAAUGCAACGAGCUUAUAACCUUGGCCGAAAGGUCUGGGUAAUCUCCAAAUUUCGUCGUGAUGGGGAUAGAUUAUUGCAAUUAUUAAUCUUCAACGAGGAAUGCCUAGUAAGCGCAAGUCAUCAGCUUGCGUUGAUUACGUCCCUGCCCUUUGUACACACCGCCCGUCGCUCCUACCGAUUGAAUGGUCCGGUGAAGCCUCGGGAUUGUGGUUCUUGCCGCUUUAUUGUGGCGUGACCGCGAGAACUUGUCUAAACCUUAUCAUCUAGAGGAAGGUGAAGUCGUAACA
Molecule: ribosomal RNA, 326 nt
Filed under: uncultured eukaryote
Lineage: Eukaryota
Description: partial 18S ribosomal RNA
Rfam family: Eukaryotic small subunit ribosomal RNA
Source: RNAcentral